This 128-nucleotide ribosomal RNA is filed under the name uncultured bacterium. RNAcentral's name for it is "partial 16S ribosomal RNA". It matches the Rfam family "Bacterial small subunit ribosomal RNA", at positions 355 to 479 of the family's 1533-position model. The record is from RNAcentral.
UGGGGAAUCUUCCGCAAUGGGCGAAAGCCUGACGGAGCAACGCCGCGUGAUCGAAUGAAGGCCUGGUUGUAAGAUCUGUUGACAGGGACGGAAUAAGCAAUGCGAAUAGUUUUGUGUAUGAUGGUACC